UACGUAGGGUGCGAGCGUUAAUCGGAAUUACUGGGCGUAAAGCGUGCGCAGGCGGCUAUACAAGACAGGCGUGAAAUCCCCGGGCUUAACCUGGGAACUGCGUUUGUGACUGUAUGGCUAGAGUACGGCAGAGGGGGGUGGAAUUCCACGUGUAGCAGUGAAAUGCGUAGAGAUGUGGAGGAACACCGAUGGCGAAGGCAGCCCCCUGGGCCAGUACUGACGCUCAUGCACGAAAGCGUGGGGAGCAAACAGG
This 253-nucleotide ribosomal RNA is filed under the name uncultured bacterium. RNAcentral describes it as "partial 16S ribosomal RNA". It matches the Rfam family "Bacterial small subunit ribosomal RNA", at positions 524 to 776 of the family's 1533-position model. The record is from RNAcentral.